GACGGAGGGGGCAAGCGUUGUUCGGAAUCAUUGGGCGUAAAGGGCUCGUAGGCGGGCCGGUAAGUUUGGCGUGAAAUCUCCACCGCUCAACGGGGAGAGGUCGUCGAAUACUGCUGGCCUGGAGUACGGUAGAGGAUCAUGGAAUUCCUGGUGUAGCGGUGGAAUGCGUAGAUAUCAGGAAGAACACCAGUGGCGAAGGCGAUGAUCUGGGCCGUUACUGACGCUGAGGAGCGAAAGCCAGGGGAGCGAACGGG
RNAcentral lists this ribosomal RNA (254 nucleotides) under uncultured bacterium. Its description in RNAcentral is "partial 16S ribosomal RNA". It matches the Rfam family "Bacterial small subunit ribosomal RNA", at positions 524 to 776 of the family's 1533-position model. The record is from RNAcentral.